This 479-nucleotide ribosomal RNA is filed under the name uncultured bacterium. RNAcentral's name for it is "bacterial SSU rRNA". It matches the Rfam family "Bacterial small subunit ribosomal RNA", at positions 28 to 523 of the family's 1533-position model. The record is from RNAcentral.
GACGAACGCUGGCGGCGCGCUUAAUACAUGCAAGUCGAACGAGAAGCCAGAGCUUGCUCUGGUGGAAAGUGGCGAACGGGUGAGUAACACGUGAGAAACCUGCCCCAAAGAUUGGGAUAAGCCUUGGAAACGAGGUCUAAUACCAAAUACCUUCUUUUUAACACAUGUUAAAAAGAAGAAAUGCUCCGGCGCUUUGGGAUGGUCUCGCGAUCUAUCAGCUUGUUGGUGAGGUAACGGCUCACCAAGGCAUCGACGGAUAGCUGGUCUGAGAGGAUGUCCAGCCACAUUGGAACUGAGACACGGUCCAAACUCCUACGGGAGGCAGCAGUAGGGAAUCUUGCACAAUGAGGGAAACCUUGAUGCAGCGACGCCGCGUGCGGGACGAAGGCCCUAGGGUUGUAAACCGCUUUCAGUAGGGACGAAAGUGACGGUACCUACAGAAGAAGCCCCGGCCAACUAUGUGCCAGCAGCCGCGGUAA